UACGGGGGGUGCGAGCGUUAAUCGGAAUAACUGGGCGUAAAGGGCACGCAGGCGGUCUUUUAAGUGUGGUGUGAAAUCCCCGGGGUUAACCUGGGAAUUGCAUUUCAUACUGGGAGUCUAGAGUACUUUAGGGAGGAGUAGAAUUCCACGUGUAGCGGUGAAAUGCGUAGAGAUGUGGAGGAAUACCGAAGGCGAAGGCAGCCCCUUGGGAAUGUACUGACGCUCAUGUGCGAAAGCAUGGGGAGCAAACAGG
This 253-nucleotide ribosomal RNA is filed under the name uncultured bacterium. RNAcentral describes it as "partial 16S ribosomal RNA". It matches the Rfam family "Bacterial small subunit ribosomal RNA", at positions 524 to 776 of the family's 1533-position model. The record is from RNAcentral.